This 451-nucleotide ribosomal RNA is filed under the name Dianthus carthusianorum. RNAcentral describes it as "eukaryotic LSU rRNA". The stretch from base 78 to 232 matches the Rfam family "5.8S ribosomal RNA". Lineage: Eukaryota; Viridiplantae; Streptophyta; Magnoliopsida; Caryophyllales; Caryophyllaceae. The record is from RNAcentral. RNAcentral also lists the same sequence under 1 other name.
GAAUACAAAUUCAAUGUACCCAUCCAUGACCCGGUCAUUCGGUGUUAUGUUAUGGUGUCAUGUUACUAACAAUAAACGACUCUCGGCAACGGAUAUCUCGGCUCUCGCAUCGAUGAAGAACGUAGCGAAAUGCGAUACUUGGUGUGAAUUGCAGAAUCCCGUGAACCAUCGAGUUUUUGAACGCAAGUUGCGCCCGAAGCCUUUGGCUAAGGGCACGUCUGCCUGGGCGUCACGCAUCGCGUCUCCCCCACACCAAUCACAUUGGUGGGGAAGGAUGAUGGCUUCCCGUGCCUCACCGGGUGCGGUUGGCUUAAACUUGGAGCCCACGGUAAAUAUUUGCCGCGGCGAUAGGUGGUGAACUUGGCUUAGGCCGUGUAAACAACCCGUUGCGGUGUGUUAGUGUGGGCUCGUUGGACCCAAUGUUUUGCAUUGUGCAAUUCAAACCUUUGCG